CUUCUUAACUUCGCGAGUAUUUGCAGUAGACCUACGAAAAUACCACCAAAAAAUACAGCUUGACCGAUACUAUAUAUUCAGAAAUACUCAUAUAAUUUUAUUGUUUCUCGCUCAAUUUCAAGCAAAUUUCUUACCUUGAAAUGAUCAAUGCGGUGAAAUUUAUGCAAAUGACAUCUUCAUGUGUGUCAAAUAAUCAUACUUGUAUUGUGAUGGGAAUAUGGGUAAGAUAUCUUUGUAUUCUCGUUGUUUCAGAGUUUCUUACCCAACAAUGUUGUCUUGUUCGAUCUAGAUAGUGGCUGUCUUUUUUUUCUUUUUUUUUCCCUAUUGCUGUGUUGGUUUAUUUCGGUUAUUUCGUUCUUCUUUUUUGCGUUUUAUUUCGUUCCUUCCAGCGUUGAUCCAUUUUUGUGAUUAAAAAUUUAUUAAAUUUUGGGGUGUUUCCAAUUACUCAGCUUCCAAUUUGUUGAUUUGUUAAUUUGUGUGAUUAAAAAUCCAAUUUAAUGUUCCGUUUUUUCAGUUGGGGUUUUUGCAUAGCCUUUCUUGAGAAAAAAAAAUAGUCUUGGGCAUUGAAGUUUUCGGAUAACCUUUUUUCUUGAGAAAAAAAUAGUCUUGGUUACUUUGUUGUUAUCAUUUCGCAUUCUUCACACAAAGUUUUUGUGCUUCGUACCGGUUGACACAAAGUUUUUGUGCAUCAUUUACCCAUAUUUGGCUUCCAUAAUGGUUUUCUUCACACUAUAGGCACACUAGGUAUAAAAAUACAUUGUAUAAACAGGGUUUUUUACCCAACACAUAGGCACACUAGAUAUAACUUUAUAGGUACACUAGGUAUAAUAGGUACACAAGGUGUAAAAAGUAUAAACAGGGUUUUUACUCAUAGGCACACUAGGUAUAACUUUAUAGGUACACUAGGUAUAAAAAAUAAUAGGUACAUUAGGUAUAAAAAUAUGUUGUAUAAACCCUGCAAUGUUUCAAGCAUUUCUGAAGCAGAUUUGCCUUUGUUGUUUUUUCAAGUUUUUUUCCUUAUUCAUUCCAGAGAAAUUAUUUUCCUUUUUCUUCACACCCAGAAGAAUUUUUUUGUGUCUGUCAGAUAAUUGCUGUUGAACUAAUCUUUCAGCACAUUCGAAAUCUGUCUGUCUCGUUACCAAUUUCACAUGCAGUUCCCUCCUUAUUCAUGUAUUGCCCUCCUUAUUCAUGUAUUGCGUUGAUGGGUGUUACCUGUUGCGUUUGAUACUAUGUUUCCUCCGCUUUUCAUUUCUUAGUUGGGUUUUUUUUUUGCAAUCUGACAUACCUCGGGUGUUAAAAAAUAUCAUGCAGGUUAUUCGGUUCUUUAAACGUUGAUGAUAAGUCUUGUUGUAUGUAUUGCUAUUGCCUCUUCUUCAUAUUAAACACAGGUGCUUCAUAUGGAUGUUUUUCAUUUUUAAGGAUGUUUCUUUUUUUGUAUAGCGUACAUAACAUUUAUAACAUAUCUGUAAUCUUUGCCAUUGUAAAAUCUUUGUAAAAAUUGCUGAAAGUCUGAAAUUAUAGUUUGUCAAUGUUUUUUUUUUCGUUUUUGUAAAGUAUGUUGAACAUUCCUUCUUCUUCUGUAUUGAGAAAGUAGUAUUGGGGUGCCAGUUGAACUAGUGGACAUUGCUAAUAGUGCCAGUUGAACUAGUGGACUUUGCUAAUGAAUAUAGUUUCGUUUCCUGUUUCUUUUCAAUCAAGUGCUUAUUGAGUUUGUGUGCUGCUUACAGGGUUUAUUUCAAAAUGUUUAAACUACCAACCCUCAUACACACGAUCUUUGCCAUUCCCCAUCAUCGUUUUUCAUACCAUAUACUUCACCACUGCCAACUCAUCUUUACCAUUGCUUUUUUCUAGAUAAAUUAUGUGGGUCGUACAACUAUACCCUUACAACACCCUUUUAUGCUAACCAUGUGCGGACCCACACAGUGCGGUAAAAACAC
RNAcentral lists this long non-coding RNA (1937 nucleotides) under Paramuricea clavata. Lineage: Eukaryota; Metazoa; Cnidaria; Anthozoa; Malacalcyonacea; Plexauridae. The record is from RNAcentral.